UGUAGAGAAUCUGCCCUGUACUGGGGGACAACAGAGGGAAACUUCUGCUAAUACCCCAUAUGAGCGUACCUGCGAUGGUAUUCUUGAAAGUUCCGGCGGUACAGGAUGAGUCUGCAUCUGACUAGCUAGUUGGUGGUGUAAUGGACUACCAAGGCGACGAUCAGUAGCUGGUUUGAGAGGAUGAUCAGCCACAAUGGGACUGAGACACGGCCCAUACUCCUACGGGAGGCAGCAG
RNAcentral lists this ribosomal RNA (235 nucleotides) under uncultured bacterium. Its description in RNAcentral is "partial 16S ribosomal RNA". It matches the Rfam family "Bacterial small subunit ribosomal RNA", at positions 116 to 354 of the family's 1533-position model. The record is from RNAcentral.